RNAcentral lists this ribosomal RNA (322 nucleotides) under uncultured eukaryote. RNAcentral describes it as "partial 18S ribosomal RNA". It matches the Rfam family "Eukaryotic small subunit ribosomal RNA", at positions 1470 to 1796 of the family's 1831-position model. The record is from RNAcentral.
CCCUUAGAUGUUCUGGGCCGCACGCGUGCUACACUGAGUGGAUCAGCGGGUCAGGUUGCGCGAAAGCGUUUCCUAAUCUUUAAAUCCGCUCGUGAUGGGGAUUGACGGUUGCAAUUUUCUGUCAUGAACGAGGAAUACCUUGUAAGCGCGGGUCAUCAUCCCGCGCUGAAUACGUCCCUGCCCUUUGUACACACCGCCCGUCGCUCCUACCGAUUGCGUGGUCCGGUGAGGCUUUGGGAUCUGAGCGGAAAGAGCGUUUCGCUGUUUCUGCUCGGAAAACUCAGUCGAACCUUAUCAUUUAGAGGAAGGAGAAGUCGUAACA